RNAcentral lists this long non-coding RNA (875 nucleotides) under Homo sapiens (human). RNAcentral's name for it is "tetratricopeptide repeat domain 5 (ENSG00000291781.1)". Lineage: Eukaryota; Metazoa; Chordata; Mammalia; Primates; Hominidae. The record is from RNAcentral.
CUUUUACUCAAAUUCUGAGAUGAGUUGACAUGUUCUGUGUAGGGCUAGAGAGUAGAAAAAUGGCCAGUAGGUGGUAGCCACAGAGAAGCAGUGCGUACAAACAAGUAAGUAUGCAAAAUUUGUACAUACGGUUUCAGGAAUAACUAGAAUACCCAUAAAAUAUCCACCUGCCUUAAAAACUAGAACAUCAUUGAUAACUUGGAAGCCCUUGCAUACCUCUCCAUGAUCUCAUUUGUCUUCACAGCUAUAUAAAUCUCAUUGUAUGAUUAUACCAUAAUUUAUUCAUCCUGUUGUUAAAGGAUAUUUGGGUUUCCAGUUUUUCUUUUUUUACUACCAAAGCACUACAUUAUUAAUAUUCUUGUAUAUGUCCUGAUAUGUAAGUGCAAAAGUUUCUUUUACAGCAAUGGCUCUUGAAGAGUGGUUCCCAGACCAGCAGCAUCAGCAUCCCUUGGAACUUCUUUGAAAUGCAAAUUCUCAAGCCCCCUACCCAGACUUACUGAAUUCAAAACUAUGUGGGAGGAGCCCAGCAAUCUGUGUUUCGCAAACCCUCCAGAAUGUCAUAAAAUUGGAAUCAGAGUAUGUACCUUUUCAGGUUGACUCCUUACUCCAUGGAUUACCUUUCAAAAUGGACAUUUAAAAAUAAUUUUAGAAUGAUACUAAAGCUACAAUAGAGGCUUGUUUAUAUAUAUAUAAUCACCAGUGAUGAGAAGUUUUCUUUGCAAUGUACAUGGUAGCAAGUGGUAGAAGGAUCUGAUCCAGUGUACAACAUUUCAUUUAGAUGUCAUGUCUCUCCAUCCGAGUCUGUGAAAGUUUCUGUCUUUUCUUGUUUUUUUUAUGACCUUGACAGUCCAGAGGAGUAUUGUGUAGAAUGAUCC